GGUCCCAUCGUCUAGUGGCCCAGGACAUCGCCCUCUCACGGCGAAAACGGGGGUUCGAUUCCCCCUGGGACUACCA
RNAcentral lists this transfer RNA (76 nucleotides) under Pseudomonadota bacterium. RNAcentral's name for it is "Proteobacteria bacterium (cold seep metagenome) tRNA-Glu". It matches the Rfam family "tRNA". From Rfam's summary of the family: Transfer RNA (tRNA) molecules are approximately 80 nucleotides in length. Their secondary structure includes four short double-helical elements and three loops (D, anti-codon, and T loops). Further hydrogen bonds mediate the characteristic L-shaped molecular structure. tRNAs have two regions of fundamental functional importance: the anti-codon, which is responsible for specific mRNA codon recognition, and the 3' end, to which the tRNAs corresponding amino acid is attached (by aminoacyl-tRNA synthetases). tRNAs cope with the degeneracy of the genetic code in two manners: having more than one tRNA (with a specific anti-codon) for a particular amino acid; and 'wobble' base-pairing, i.e. permitting non-standard base-pairing at the 3rd anti-codon position. The record is from RNAcentral. Lineage: Bacteria; Pseudomonadati; Pseudomonadota.